CGGGACGGGUGAAGUAACGCGUAACGAAACUCGCGUAUACGGUGGGAUACACUUAGAAAUAGGUGCUAAUACUGCAUAAGCGCACAGCUUCGCAUGGAGCGGUGUGAAAAACUCUGGUGGUAUACGAUGGUUCCGCGUCUGAUUAGCUAGUUGGUGGGGUAAUGGCCUACCAAGGCAACGAUCAGUAGCCGGCCUGAGAGGGUGAACGGCCACAUUGGGACUGAGACACGGCCCAAACUCCUACGGAAGGCAGCAG
This 256-nucleotide ribosomal RNA is filed under the name uncultured bacterium. RNAcentral's name for it is "partial 16S ribosomal RNA". It matches the Rfam family "Bacterial small subunit ribosomal RNA", at positions 98 to 354 of the family's 1533-position model. The record is from RNAcentral.